Molecule: RNA transcript, 554 nt
Organism: Carlito syrichta (Philippine tarsier)
Lineage: Eukaryota; Metazoa; Chordata; Mammalia; Primates; Tarsiidae
Gene name: ubiquitin-conjugating enzyme E2 D3 pseudogene
Exons: 1
Source: RefSeq, a predicted model, not a curated record
GUAUCUGGCAAAGAUGAUGUGAGAUGAGACACUCCUUCCCCACCACCUGGAUAAUCAGGAGUUUUGCCCAGACCUUUGAGCACACACCGAGAUAGUGAGGAGCCAGAUGAAAAACACAGAUUAUAGCGCUGGAACAGAUGAAUAAGGAACUCGGUGAUUUGGCCUGUGACUCUCCAGCACAAAGUUCUGCAGAUCCUGUUGGGGAUGAUAUGUUUCACUGGCAAGCCACAAUUAUGGGACCUAAUGACAACCCAUAUCAGGGAGGUGUAUUCUUUUUGACAAUUCAUUUUCCUACAGACUACCCCUUCAAACCACCUAAGGUUGCAUUUACAACAAGAAUUUAUCAUCCAAGUACUAACAGUAAUGGUAGCAUUUGUCUCGAUAUUCUAAGAUCACAGUGGUCUCCUACUUUAUUUCUUUUAUCCAUUUUUUCACUGCUGUGUGAUCCAAGCCCAGAUGACCCCUUAGUCCCAGAGAUCACACGGAUCUAUAAAACAGACAGAGAUAAGUACAACAGAGAUUCUUGGGAAUGGACUCAGAAGUAUGCCAUGUGA